Molecule: ribosomal RNA, 2888 nt
Filed under: Vibilia propinqua
Lineage: Eukaryota; Metazoa; Arthropoda; Malacostraca; Amphipoda; Vibiliidae
Description: partial 28S ribosomal RNA
Rfam family: Eukaryotic large subunit ribosomal RNA
Source: RNAcentral
GCGAUUCCCUUAGUAGUGGCGAACGAAAAGGGAACAGCCCAGCGCAUAAUCUCCCGGGUUACCAAGCCUGCGGCGAAAUGUUGCGUUAAAGGAAAGGUCGUUCGUGUCUCGCCCACCCGUUUGAUUGUGCCUAACAGCGUCUUGAAUUAUUCGCGCUCGUUGAGUACUUUACUUCUUUCGGGUUGUAAACGCUCAACACACGGUUCCAUGGAGGGUGCAAGUCCCGUAUGGCCGCGGUUGAGUGGGCGAAGGCUAGACCUCUUUUCCUGGAGAGUCGCGUUGCUUGAACAUGCAGCGCUAAGCAGGAGGUAAACUCCUCCUAAGGCUAAAUAUGUCCACAGAACCGAUAGCUAACAAGUACCGCGAGGGAAAGUUGAAAAGUACUCUGGAGAGAGGGUGCAAAGACCGUGAAACCAUCCAGGGCAAAAGCCAAUGUCGAGUAUCCUAGUAGCGCUGGGACCGUCCUUCGGGAUGUUACUAACCACGUUUGUCGAGGUUCACAUUCGAGAGCCUCGCAUUCGUCAGUCGGUUGGUUUGAGUGUCCAUUAACAGCCCGCCGCAACUCUUGCGAGGUCUCACACGGUUGCCGAGUGUUGGCACAUCUCGUCGUUCAAUUAAAGGCUGGUCGUUGUCGAGAGUCGUGUCUUGGUAGAUCCAUCCCAGUAACAUACGCGAGUAUGCGAAGAGAUGCUGCCGAACGCGUCGGUACAAACAAACUCUUAUAGCGGCCAGCUGGAACGUCGAUAACCAACGCAUACUGGUAGCCAAUGUGUGAAUGAUCCUUCUGCGAGAAGUUGGUUCAGACAAGUCCUGCUUCCUAUACAUCCGUGUAUAGGGGUGCAGGCAACGGCGGUACAAUGCCUAGGUGACAUUGGUCACGUCUCGAAACACGGGCCAAGGAGCAUAGCGUAAAGGCGAGUCUCAGGGUUUCACUAAACCCGGUGGCGAGUGAAAGCGAGUGACGUGCUCUUUUACGAGUGCGUAGGCGUUACGUUGAGAGUUCCGUCUUUGCGGCGAGCUCUAGACGUGGCGUCGCUUUGUCACAGCUGAUCCUUUCGUUCCUCGAACAACAAGGCGCAAGCUGCAAGCUUACCCAUAGUUCAGUGCUCGGUGUUUCGGCAUCGUUGUAUCUGGCAGGGGAAGCAUUGUCUAGACUUUCCGCUAUGACCCGAAAGAUAGUGAACUAUGCUUGACGAAGACGAAGCCCUAGGAAACUAUGGUGGAAGUCUGUAGCCGUUGUGACGUGCAAAUCCAUGGCGUCAGUUGAGUAUAGGGGCGAAAGACCAAUCGAACUAUCUAGUAGCUGGUUCCUUCCGAAGUUUCUCUCAGGAUAGCUUGAGCGACAUGACAACGCUAACGAGUCUGAACGUCGAGGUGCUUGCAUCUCGCUCGUUCGCCCGUGUCUGCAGUUGUUGAGAGCACAUCAGUAGCCGUGGGCUCGUAAGCUCACUCUUUGUCGGACAAAUAUGGGUAGCGUAUCACAUACGUUCCUUGGCAGUUACGUCUGGUAAAGAGAAUGAGUAGAGUUGGCUCGUUGUUCUCAUGUAACAACAGCAGCGGGGCGUUCUACGCCUCGCACUAUUAUCAAACUUUAAAUGGGCGAGGAACUUGGCAUUAUCUUAAUUGCUUGAUGCCAGGGCGUAGUCGGUUGAGCGACGAGGUUUCGUACCAAGUUCGUCUCAGAUGAGAAUGCGUGCGCUUUAAGUGGGUCCUUUCUGGUAAGCAGAACUGAUAAUGAGGGAUGAACCUAACGCAUAUGCUAAGGGGUCAAAAAGACAGCUAUUUCUCGAAACCAUUGGAAAGGUGUUGCUUGCUAAAGACAGCAGGACGGUGGUCAUGGAAGUUGACAUCCGCUAAGGAGUGUGUAACAACUCAUCCUGCCGAAGCGAGUAACCCUGAAAAUGGAUGACUCUAUAGCUCUCUCCCGAUGCAUGGCCGUCAAAGCACGAGUGACAUUUCUUGUCUCAAGGCAUUGACGAGUAGAAUGGUGUGCUGGUGCGCGUCGAAGACAUUUGCGUGAGCAUUGUCGGAGCCGCCAGUAGUACAGAUCUUGGUGGUAGUAGCAAGUACUCUGGUGAAUAACCUUGAGCUGUGAGGCUGAUAAGGGUUCCGCGUCAACAGCGUUUGUACGCGGGUAAGCCGGUCCUAAGCUCCCUUUAUCUCAUAAAGGUAAUUGCGAAUGCAUGGAACUAUGACUUUCGGUUGGUAUAAUCGAGACACACGCUCGAACUGUGUCUAUAAAACACGAGGCCUUACGAUUCAAGCAGAGAGAAAUAAGAAAACUGACGACUCGCACCUGUUUAUUCUUGCGUCUUUGUUGUGUUGAACGUGGUGCACUUGGGUUAAAUCUUGCGUGCCAUUACUAGCGCUAAAACAUUGACACUCGAUGCCAGUCAUAGWUGCUGUUCUUGUCGACUCUCUUGUAAUCUCUCUUGUGAGUCUCGYUUUGGUUUAYUGUUUGUCAGUUGAAAAGAGACACACAUUCGCUAGAUAGCUCUUGAAUUACCUCGGUCAUACUCUGUCGUCGCUUGGCGAAAGGGAAAUAUGAACUCASUUCAUAUGCCUCUCCUGGCACCCUGAGACGGUUCACCGUAUCACGAUCCUAGCAAUAGAUGCCAGGCCAGUCGUUGUCAUAAGUAGCUCGGCAGGGAGAUUUCUUCUCUCUUUGAUAGAACGUCCGACCCUGAAAACACCUCKCGUGGCGGUAGGGUGAUGUUUUGACUUAUCASAGAAGUCCUCUCCCUAKACUAKWUCGACRCUACUUGUGACCCGYGAAAAGGUGGKCGAGGGGAUUGAAAUGUACACGCUGGUUUACCAGAAGUACUUUCGCACUUAACACGAGUGUUUGCCACGGAGUGUCCGUACCCAUUUCCGCAUCCGGUCUCAAA